UUGGAGUUCUAUAAAUGGGAUGGUGACCUUUCCCAACUAUUGCAGAAUGUUAGGGACAAGUUGAAUAAAGUUGCUGAGAGCUGGACUAGAGAAGAGAAGAACCAUUGUUUGGAAGAAACUGAAAAGUCAUUCAAAUAUUCAGGGGCGAUCCUUCGUCUAAUAUUAUCGUGAUGUGGAUGGUUCCUUGAUCUCCUUGUAAUGUUGUGUAACCAUGCGCAAGCUUAAGUAUCCAAGUUUAUAUCGAAAACAUUUUAUUUUUCUUUGCAGCAGUAUUCUUCAGUGAAAUCAAAAUGCUGUUCUUGUACAUUAUAACUUCAUCCAUGACAUGAAUAAAUUAGACGAAGGAUCG
This 349-nucleotide unclassified non-coding RNA is filed under the name Hevea brasiliensis (rubber tree). Lineage: Eukaryota; Viridiplantae; Streptophyta; Magnoliopsida; Malpighiales; Euphorbiaceae. The record is from RNAcentral.